Molecule: unclassified non-coding RNA, 982 nt
Filed under: Hevea brasiliensis (rubber tree)
Lineage: Eukaryota; Viridiplantae; Streptophyta; Magnoliopsida; Malpighiales; Euphorbiaceae
Source: RNAcentral
UCACUCUCUCUCUCUCUCUCUGAGCCCCAAUGUUUCUAUAUCCAUGGCAGAUCAAACCCAGAAUCCACAAAUUUUUGAGCUCAACAAUGGUACCAUGCUCGUCAAGAUCACGAAUUUCGGUUGCAUCAUUACUUCCAUGCCCGUACCUGAUAAAAAUGGGAAUUUAGCUGAUGUUGUUCUUGGAUUUGACUCUGUUGAGCCAUAUCUGGUAAUUCUAUUCAAUUCAUCUUUCUGUUUAUAUUCUAAUCAAACUUAUUGGCUAAUUGACUGGCUUUUUUUAAUGAUGCGAUCAAAAUUCUAUCAGCUUUGCCUGCAAUUAACAUUUGAUCAUAUUCAUGGGAUUUCCUUUCCCUUAAGAAAGGUGGGCACAAUUAUGUAAUAUGGGAGGUAGCAGAAUAUAAUAAAGGCGAAAACACCCAUCAAUCACCUUCGAGUACCAGAGUCAUGGUGGAUAGGAAGGUAGUCACUACUCACUGCUCUCUCUCUCUGAUCUUUAACGUUUCUUGUGGUAAUAAGUGGGGAUCUUUCUGUAUCUGAACCAUACACACUUACUUCAAGCACAAUAAUGAGGCUUGACAUGGAAGCAGUGCCCAAGGAUAAACCAUCUCCAGUCAUGCCAGUUAAAGGCACGCACACCUUUUGACUUCACCAUUGGAGAAGAAGGUUAGUGAUUCAAUUCAUGAAGUUGGUUUAGGGUAAUGAUCACAAAUAUGUGCUUGACUGUGGCGAAGAAAAAUCAGGUUUGAAACAUGCUACAAAACUCAAGGAUCCAUCAAGCUCAAGGGUCCUUAACUUGUGAACCAAUGCUCCUGGGAUGCAGUUUUACACUGGAAACUACGUGAAUGGAGUUGUUUAUAAAGGAGGUGCUGUUUAUGGAAAGCAUUCAGGUCUUCGUUUAGAGACACAAGGGUUUCCUAAUGCCAGAAACCAAUCAAACUUCGCAUCAGUGGCCAUUCAACCUGAUGAGACGUAUAAGCACACA